GUGCUCGCUUCAGCAGCACAUAUACUAAAAUUGGAACAACACAGAGAAGAUUAGCAUGGUCCCUGAGGAAGGAUGACAUGCAAAUUUGUGAAGGUUCCAUAUUUAA
Molecule: small nuclear RNA, 106 nt
Organism: Jaculus jaculus (lesser Egyptian jerboa)
Lineage: Eukaryota; Metazoa; Chordata; Mammalia; Rodentia; Dipodidae
Source: RefSeq, a predicted model, not a curated record